This 894-nucleotide ribosomal RNA is filed under the name Triticum aestivum (bread wheat). Its description in RNAcentral is "partial small subunit ribosomal RNA". Lineage: Eukaryota; Viridiplantae; Streptophyta; Magnoliopsida; Poales; Poaceae. The record is from RNAcentral.
AUGGGGAGAAAGGCGCCUCCUUUUGCUCCGGCCGGGCGGAAACGCAAAGGUCCGUCGCUCCCCUUUCUCUCCCCCGGCAAACGCCGCUUUAUCCCCACUCCGGCGCGGGCAGCCACCGGCUGGGCGUCCCUCCCGGACGACAUAGCCCGCCAGGUCGCCGCGCUGGUGCUGAAAUCCGGCGUCGUGGACUACAUUGCCUUCCGCGCCGUCUGCUCCGGAUGGCGCACCUGCGCGCCCGCUCCGCGUGACCCCACCCUCCGGAUCCCGUCUCUCCGCCCGGUCGGCUGGGUCGCGCUCUGUGACGGCGACGCCUGCCAGAUAACCUUCUUCCACACUCAAACGGCGAGGUGCCUCCGCGUCCGCCUGCCCGAGCUCCGGCGCCACAGGAUCAUUGGCUUCACCGAUGGUCUUGUCAUCCUGCUGCACAAGCGAACCACCGCGGUCCGCGUGCUCAACCCCUUCACAGGCGCCGCGGUUGACUUCCCGUCCCUCGUCCCCGUGUACCAGGAGCUGAUCAAGAACCGCAACUGCGUCCUUGGCAUGAACGCUGCGGUUUGUACUAGUGUAUCAUCCACCACCUCCAUUGCCGUCGUGGCCUGGUUCCCUUGGUCGUCUGUGGUGCUCAGCGCCGAUGCAGGCCACCCGAGCUGGGAGGUCAUCCAAACAGACAUGUAUCUGUCCAACACCUUGCCCUUCCAAGGUCAGCUCUACGGCUUCCUGCAGUCUUCAAGUCUACCCUCCCAGUCCCAAGUCCCAACCCACCCGCCGGUCCUGUUGUUGCUCAUGUUCCACAAAAGUUUGGUAACCCGCCUUUCUGCAAGUACUAUCUCGUGGAGUCCGAUGGAGACAUGCUACUCGUUGUCAAGUCGCCAAAGUUUGUGCACCCUGAUGUAG